Molecule: non-coding RNA, 26 nt
Filed under: Rattus norvegicus (Norway rat)
Lineage: Eukaryota; Metazoa; Chordata; Mammalia; Rodentia; Muridae
Source: RNAcentral
GUGUCCUGAACAGACACGGGCAAGAU